This 484-nucleotide ribosomal RNA is filed under the name uncultured bacterium. RNAcentral's name for it is "partial 16S ribosomal RNA". It matches the Rfam family "Bacterial small subunit ribosomal RNA", at positions 30 to 507 of the family's 1533-position model. The record is from RNAcentral.
AUUGAACGCUGGCGGCAGGCCUAACACAUGCAAGUCGAGCGGAUGAAGGGAGCUUGCUCCUGGAUUCAGCGGCGGACGGGUGAGUAAUGCCUAGGAAUCUGCCUGGUAGUGGGGGAUAACGUCCGGAAACGGGCGCUAAUACCGCAUACGUCCUGAGGGAGAAAGUGGGGGAUCUUCGGACUUCACGCUAUCAGAUGAGCCUAGGUCGGAUUAGCUAGUUGGUGGGGUAAAGGCCUACCAAGGCGACGAUCCGUAACUGGUCUGAGAGGAUGAUCAGUCACACUGGAACUGAGACACGGUCCAGACUCCUACGGGAGGCAGCAGUGGGGAAUAUUGGACAAUGGGCGAAAGCCUGAUCCAGCCAUGCCGCGUGUGUGAAGAAGGUCUUCGGAUUGUAAAGCACUUUAAGUUGGGAGGAAGAGCAGUAAGUUAAUACCUUGCUGUUUUGACGUUACCAACAGAAUAAGCACCGGCUAACUUCGUG